RNAcentral lists this ribosomal RNA (408 nucleotides) under uncultured bacterium. RNAcentral describes it as "partial 16S ribosomal RNA". It matches the Rfam family "Bacterial small subunit ribosomal RNA", at positions 28 to 526 of the family's 1533-position model. The record is from RNAcentral.
GACGAACGCUGGCGGCGUGCUUAACACAUGCAAGUCGAACGAAGUGGCGAACGGGUGAGUAACGCGUAAUCAACCUGCCCUUCAGAGGGGGAUAACAGUUUGAAACGACUGCUAAUACCGCAUACUGAAGGAGGUGCUUGCGUGUGAUUAGCUAGUUGGAGGGGUAAUGGCCCACCAAGGCGAAGAUCAGUAGCCGGUCUGAGAGGAUGAACGGCCAAAUUGGGACUUAGAAAAGGCCAAGAAUCCUAAGGGAGGCAGCAGUGGGGAAUCUUCCGCAAUGGACGAAAGUCUGACGGAGCAACGCCGCGUGAGUGAUGACGGCCUUCGGGGUGUAAAGCUCUGUUAAGCGGGACGCGGUACCGGAAUAGAAAGCCACGGCUAACUACGUGCCAGCAGCCGCGGUAAUUC